This 363-nucleotide ribosomal RNA is filed under the name Triticum aestivum (bread wheat). RNAcentral describes it as "partial small subunit ribosomal RNA". Lineage: Eukaryota; Viridiplantae; Streptophyta; Magnoliopsida; Poales; Poaceae. The record is from RNAcentral.
AUGUGGACCUAUCUUCGUCAGCGCUAUGAGCCCUCUGGUGAUGCCUUAUACCUUUCUGUGGUUCGUCAGGAGCAUGCUCUUCAGCAGGGUGACUCUACUGUUGAUGACUUUUAUGCACAGAGUUCUGCUAUCUGGCGCCAGCUUGAUUCUCUCUGCAGUGCUGGUUGUCGUACUUGCCCCUGCUGCCAGGCUGUCCAGGCCAAUUUGGAGUUUCAUCGCGUCUACGAGUUCUUGUCUCGGCUCCGUAAGGAGUUUGAGCCCCGGCGUGCUCAGUUGUUUGCUCGUGGCCGUAUUUCUCUCAUGGAGGCGCUUUCAGAGAUUCGUGCUGAGGAGACUCGCCUACGUGGCCGUAAGGAGUUAUAA